ACGGGUGAGUAACACGUGAGCAAUCUGCCCCUGACUCUGGGAUAAGCGCUGGAAACGGCGUCUAAUACUGGAUACGAACCGUGGAGGCAUCUUCAACGGUUGGAAAGAUUUUUUGGUCAGGGAUGAGCUCGCGGCCUAUCAGCUUGUUGGUGAGGUAAUGGCUCACCAAGGCAUCGACGGGUAGCCGGCCUGAGAGGGUGACCGGCCACACUGGGACUGAGACACGGCCCAGACUCCUACGGGAGGCAGCAGUGGGGAAUAUUGCACAAUGGGCGCAAGCCUGAUGCAGCAACGCCGCGUGAGGGAUGACGGCCUUCGGGUUGUAAACCUCUUUUAGCAGGGAAGAAGCGAAAGUGACGGUACCUGCAGAAAAAGCGCCGGCUAACUACGUGCCAGCAGCCGCGGUAAUACGUAGGGCGCAAGCGUUAUCCGGAAUUAUUGGGCGUAAAGAGCUCGUAGGCGGUUUGUCGCGUCUGCUGUGAAAUCCCGAGGCUCAACUUCGGGUCUGCAGUGGGUACGGGCAGACUAGAGUGCGGUAGGGGAGAUUGGAAUUCCUGGUGUAGCGGUGGAAUGCGCAGAUAUCAGGAGGAACACCGAUGGCGAAGGCAGAUCUCUGGGCCGUAACUGACGCUGAGGAGCGAAAGGGUGGGGAGCAAACAGGCUUAGAUACCCUGGUAGU
This 679-nucleotide ribosomal RNA is filed under the name Microbacterium sp. RNAcentral's name for it is "bacterial SSU rRNA". It matches the Rfam family "Bacterial small subunit ribosomal RNA", at positions 102 to 794 of the family's 1533-position model. The record is from RNAcentral. Lineage: Bacteria; Bacillati; Actinomycetota; Actinomycetes; Micrococcales; Microbacteriaceae.